RNAcentral lists this long non-coding RNA (257 nucleotides) under Elaeis guineensis (African oil palm). RNAcentral describes it as "long non-coding RNA (EGUI_LNC053066)". The record is from RNAcentral. Lineage: Eukaryota; Viridiplantae; Streptophyta; Magnoliopsida; Arecales; Arecaceae.
AACAGUGGUAUCAGAGCUAUGAUUCUAUAUGACAUGAAAUUAUAUAUAUUUUGAUUUAUAAUUUAAUUAAAAUUAUAUUUGAUAUAUGAUAUUUAAAUCUAAAAUUAAUUAUAGAUCAGAUUGCAUAAACUGGUAUAAGGUUGUCCUGCUGUAAGAUUUACCCCUUAUAGUGUAAAGAUUGUCCUAGUUUGUGCUGAUCCUUAUAAAAUUUGAUUUUAAAUUGAAGUAUGUAAAAUUUAUUUAUGAUGAUUAUUAUC